This is a long non-coding RNA of Drosophila virilis, 1389 nucleotides long. RefSeq lists it as uncharacterized. Lineage: Eukaryota; Metazoa; Arthropoda; Insecta; Diptera; Drosophilidae. The record is from RefSeq and is a predicted model, not a curated record.
AGACAAGCUCCGUCUUGACCUUGCUGGACUCCAGACGCGACUCGACCAGCUGAUCUUCCAGAUGCCCAAUCUGCCAGACAUAAUUGGUAAGCAAUUUUGCUCUUGUCAUCGUCAUCGCUGCUGUGCAUCGAGCUGCGACUCUGGCGUCCGGUAUUGUUGGCUUUCAGAUCGCCAAUCUUCUUCUGCGCCAGCUCGAGCAUCUGCUUAAAGGCAUCUCUGUCUUUCUUGAAGCGCUCGCAUUGGCGCUGCAAUCAUAUCGACAUAAAACUGGCUGAUCUCUAUGGCAAUUAGCUCAGAGCUUACCUGCAUGGAGGUGAGUUCUCCACUGAGAUUCUUCACCUGCUGCUCAUAGCGCAACCGCGUGGAGGCCACUUCGGACUUAAGCUGCAGCUCAGAGGCUUGCAAUCUGCAAGGAGUAGUACAGUUAAAUCCAUGGCCAGAAGUCGUAUUCGUAUUCGAGGAUAAAAAUUCUGCCCCAGACAUGGAGUUGGGCCAACAAAAAGCCGCCGCACAAAAGAUUCUAACUACUUGGAUUAGCAUUAGAUGGAAACAAGAAAGAAUUUGUGUGUACUCCUCUUCGGCUGGCCGAAUACCUAAUACCCUUGCAGGCUUUAGUUCUUGUGAUAUUCAUUUUGUAUAUGCGUUGGCCCUGCUCUAAAAGUCAUUCAAUUAGAGAAUCGAUUUUCAUUUUAGGCAGACCUCAAUUCCUUUACUACUCUCCUAAGGAGCAGCUGUGUUUUCGAAUUAAAUAAAAGUUACUUGCAGAGUCUGCGGAAGGUGAAGCUAAUGAAAACUGGUGGAACUUGCUGAGAUAAAACUGCUUCUCAAUAGGAAUCAACGAGUCCUACUCGAACUUGAGCAUCUCGGCAUCGAUUCGUUUAGAAUAAAGCUCACUUCCUUUUCUAUUCUCAUGUAGAUCAGACGCUCGCUUUAAUACUAUCAUAUAUAUACAGGUACUAUUAAAGCGAACGUCUGAUUCAUAUGAGUAUAGAAAAGGAACUGAGGUUGAUUCUAGAUGAAAUCGAAUAACUAACAAAGCCGGAGCUCCUACGAUUUUAAGUGCUUAAAUUAUACAACAACGUUUAUAAUUUACCAUAUUUUAAAGAGUUGCCGAUAUUAAACCCUCUGCAAGGGUAUAUCAACGUAUUUACACAAAUACAAUGGAGAGACAUAAACAAGAAAAUCAACUGCACUAAAUAUUGAGACAGAUCGCAACCAGCAAAGACCUUUACAGAAGGACUAACCGAUAUAACUGUAAAUAUUCAUCCUCUUUUGGCUCUGGCCCAAAAAAUGGAGUUAACAAGAAACUAUUCUCUGCUUUACUAUUAAUUCUACCUAAAUCGAAACUAUUUUUGUAUAAAAUAUAUGUAAAUUUAAAUAACAUUUUAA